This is a non-coding RNA of Salmo salar (Atlantic salmon), 160 nucleotides long. The record is from Rfam. NCBI's taxonomy places the organism in Eukaryota, Metazoa, Chordata, Actinopteri, Salmoniformes, Salmonidae.
CUACUUACCUGGCAAGGGAGAUACCGUGAUCAAGAAGGAGGUUCACCCAGGGCGAGGCUCAGCCAUUGCACUCUGGCUGUACUGACCCCUCCAAAGUUCCUAAAUGUGGAAAUCUCUGGGAUUGGGAAGGUUGUGGGAAAAGGGAUGGCAGGGACCUUUG